AUAACAAUACAGGACUCUUUAGAGGCCCUGUAAUUGGAAUAAGUCCACUUUAAAUCCUUUAACGAGGAUCUUUUGGAUGGCAAGUCUGGUACAGAGCGACUGACCCGU
RNAcentral lists this ribosomal RNA (108 nucleotides) under Pelobates cultripes (western spadefoot toad). Its description in RNAcentral is "SSU_rRNA_eukarya". Lineage: Eukaryota; Metazoa; Chordata; Amphibia; Anura; Pelobatidae. The record is from RNAcentral.